Molecule: non-coding RNA, 955 nt
Filed under: Tetracerus quadricornis (four-horned antelope)
Lineage: Eukaryota; Metazoa; Chordata; Mammalia; Artiodactyla; Bovidae
Description: 12S ribosomal RNA
Rfam family: Bacterial small subunit ribosomal RNA
Source: RNAcentral
CAUAGGUUUGGUCCCAGCCUUCCUGUUAACUUUCAAUAAAUUUACACAUGCAAGCAUCUGCACCCCAGUGAGAAUGCCCUCUGGGUUUAUAAAACUAAGAGGAGCUGGUAUCAAGCUCACAUCCGUAGCUAACGACACCUUGCUUAACCACACCCCCACGGGAAACAGCAGUGAUAAAAAUUAAGCUAUAAACGAAAGUUUGACUAAGUUAUAUAAGUUAGGGUUGGUAAAUCUCGUGCCAGCCACCGCGGUCAUACGAUUAACCCAAGCUAACAGGAACACGGCGUAAAACGUGUUUAAGCAUUUUCCCAAAUAGAGUUAAAGUUUAGUUAAGCUGUAAAAAGCCAUUGCUAUCAUAAAAAUAAAUGACGAAAGUAACUCUACAAUAGCCGAUACACUAUAGCUAAGACCCAAACUGGGAUUAGAUACCCCACUAUGCUUAGCCCUAAACACAGAUAAUUACACAAACAAAAUUAUUCGCCAGAGUACUACAGGCAACAGCCUAAAACUCAAAGGACUUGGCGGUGCUUUAUAUCCCUCUAGAGGAGCCUGUUCUAUAAUCGAUAAACCCCGUUAAACCUUACCAAUUCUUGCUAAUUCAGUCUAUAUACCGCCAUCUUCAGCAAACCCUAAAAAGGAAUAAAAGUAAGCACAAUAAUAGUACAUAAAAACGUUAGGUCAAGGUGUAACCUAUGAAUUGGAAAGAAAUGGGCUACAUUUUCUAUGUUAAGAAAAUCCUAUACGAAAGUUAUUAUGAAACUAAUAACCAAAGGAGGAUUUAGUAGUAAACUAAGAAUAGAGUGCUUAGUUGAACUAGGCCAUGAAGCACGCACACACCGCCCGUCACCCUCCUCAAAUAAAUACAACGCACCUAAACUUAUUCUAAAGCACUAACCAUAUGAGAGGAGACAAGUCGUAACAAGGUAAGCAUACUGGAAAGUGUGCUUGGACAAAU